Non-coding RNA from Neurospora sp. IMI 360204, 106 nucleotides. The record is from the annotation of a GenBank genome assembly. NCBI's taxonomy places the organism in Eukaryota, Fungi, Ascomycota, Sordariomycetes, Sordariales, Sordariaceae.
GUCCCGUUGGUGUAAUGGUCAACACUACUUGGCUGAUGCUUUGUCGUGUUGCGAUGCGGCUUACUGUCCAGCAUAGAAGUUACCGGUUCGAAUCCGGUACGGGUCA